Molecule: ribosomal RNA, 513 nt
Filed under: Pronodularia japanensis
Lineage: Eukaryota; Metazoa; Mollusca; Bivalvia; Unionida; Unionidae
Description: partial 16S rRNA
Rfam family: Bacterial large subunit ribosomal RNA
Source: RNAcentral
AUGUCGUGAGCGUGCUAAGGUAGCGUUAUAAAUAUAGCCUCUUAAUUGGAGGCCAGUGAAAGGCAACACUAGGAACACCUGUGCUUUUUAUACCAGAAAAAUUUUUCAUCUGAGUGAAAAGACUCAGAUAAUGAAGGAAGACGAAAAGACCCCGCGGAACUUUACCUUUUCCUGCACUCCUGCCCAGGAGCACAAAAGUGCAACAGGUUUGAUUGGGGCAAUCUCGGAACUACCCAAGCUUCCGACCACACCUAGACACAUCUAAAAUUUGAUAUAGACAAAAUAGUAGUUACCCCGGGGAUAACAGCGUCAUCCAACUUAAGAGUACACAUCGAAAGUUGGGUUUGCGACCUCGAUGUUGGCUUAAGGUUAUCCACAUUAGUGCAACCGCUAUGAAAGGACAGUCUGUUCGACUUUUAUACCCUUACACGAGCUGAGUUAAGACCGGCGCAAGCUAGGUUGGUUUCUAUCUCCUUAUAUUAACACCCUUCUUGAUUGUACGAAAGGACCCCA